AGAGUGAACGCUGGCGGUAGGCCUAACACAUGCAAGUCGAACGGCAGCACAGUAGGAGCUUGCUCUUACGGGUGGCGAGUGGCGGACGGGUGAGGAAUACAUCGGAAUCUACCUUUUGGUGGGGGAUAACGUAGGGAAACUUACGCUAAUACCGCAUACGCCCUUCGGGGGAAAGGCCGGGACCAGCAAUGGCCUGGUGCUGAUAGAUGAGCCGAUGUCGGAUUAGCUAGUUGGUGAGGUAAUGGCUCACCAAGGCGACGAUCCGUAGCUGGUCUGAGAGGAUGAUCAGCCACACUAGGAACUGAG
RNAcentral lists this ribosomal RNA (306 nucleotides) under uncultured soil bacterium. RNAcentral describes it as "bacterial SSU rRNA". It matches the Rfam family "Bacterial small subunit ribosomal RNA", at positions 26 to 323 of the family's 1533-position model. The record is from RNAcentral.